This is a transfer RNA of Colletotrichum incanum, 73 nucleotides long. It matches the Rfam family "tRNA". Rfam says of the family: Transfer RNA (tRNA) molecules are approximately 80 nucleotides in length. The record is from Rfam. NCBI's taxonomy places the organism in Eukaryota, Fungi, Ascomycota, Sordariomycetes, Glomerellales, Glomerellaceae.
GGGAUUUUAGUAUAAUGGUGAAUACAUAUGACUUUUAAUCAUUAUGAUAUUGGUUCGAAUCCAAUAGAUCCUA